This is a non-coding RNA of Physcomitrium patens, 4282 nucleotides long. The record is from RefSeq and is a predicted model, not a curated record. NCBI's taxonomy places the organism in Eukaryota, Viridiplantae, Streptophyta, Bryopsida, Funariales, Funariaceae.
UCUCUCUCCUCACGCGGCAUUUUCCUGUCCCCCCCUCGCCUCUCUGUGGCUAUGGCCUCGCUGCUGCUGCUGCCUCUCUGAUGUUGUCUCUUUACCGAUUUUCCUCCCCAUUCUACUCAUCCUAUUUCCCUCCCCUUCCUCUUCCGCUCACUUGUGUUGUUCAUGGGUUUGGUCUGUGACCAUCGAUGUGUUUUUAGAUAGGAGACACGCGCAACUCAGUGAAGUGUGGACGAGGAGGAAGAGCUACAGAGCGGCAGGUGAGGGCGAGCAGUAGUGGUGAGGAAGGGUUGGGGAGUGGCUGGCGGAUCUUGUGGAUUGUGGGAGAUGGAGGACUUCGCCAAUAUAUUGCAGCGGAACUAUGGGCUGAAACCUGGCGGCAAGAGCGCGCCUAUGGCGGGGGGCCAUGGCCGAGCUGGAUCGACCGGAGGGAGCAUGGGUAGGUCUGGAUCUGCACCUAGGAUGGCUAACAACGACGACGUUUUCAACUCGGUCUUCAACUCUUCGCCCGCUAACGGGACCGGCGUUAGGCGCAGCAAUUCAGGAGCUGGAUACGAUGACGUUUUUGGGGGACCUCCAAUGGCAACGAACUCGUCCAAUGAUGCCUUUGGUGACCUCUUGGGAGGAUUCAACGCUUCAGGAUCAAGGCCACAACCAAGUCAAAACUCCUUUACUGAUGAUUUAUUGGGAGGAUUUAGUGCCUCCAAGCCACCACAAUCAACUGCUCACACUCCGUCCAGUUCUUUGGAUGAUAUAUUUUCUGGAGGAUAUGGUCGUACUAGAACUUCAUCGCAGACUAGUUCUGUGAGUCAGAAGGUAGACGACCCAUUCAGUACGUUCAGCAUGCCGAGGCCCGCGCCAAAGGUAACCCAAUCUCAGACAAUGUUUGAUAAUGAUUGGGACUUCAGUGCCUCUAAACCUGCACCGAGAGGAGGAACGCUGCACGCUUCUUUCGAUGGUGACCUUUUGGGAGGAUUUUCGACGUCUACAGGUCGUCCUAAGCAACCAGUGUCAAACCAACCUCAACACUCUAGCCCGCCUCGAUCCAGGCAUUCUGAACCUCUGUUCGAUGACUAUGCACCAGGUUUUGGCGGUGGCGACCAAGGAAAAAAGAAACCUGUUGCAGACGCAGAUGCAAUGCGGGGCAUUCCAAUCAUAAACACAGAUGAUGACGAUGUGUUUAGUAACAUCCCCAGCUCAACACCAGCUCCUCCAUCAGAUCCUUUCGGCAGCAUCCCCCCUGCCAAGGCCACUGUUGAUGCUGAUGCAUCUCGAGGAGUACCUCUUGUGACUCCCCUGGAUGCUGACGAGAUGCGUGGAAUUCCGACUAUGAAUACCUCCCCGACACUUGAUGAUGAUCCAUUCUCUUCUGCCGUAGAGGAAGACCCUUUUGCUAAGAUUAUUAAAGACUCAGCUCCUCCUGCUUAUGCGGAUCCAUCAGAUCCUUUCUACAUACCUCCUGCUUCUGGAUCUUCCAGUAGUAAUACAACAGACGUAUCAAAGAAUCAGGAUGAUAAUGGAAGUGGACCGGUUGAUCCUUUCGACGGAUUUCCUCAUCCCUCACCUGUGGCCACGUCACAGUCCAAUGAGGAUACAGCAUCAAAUCGCUCUCUUUUUCAUGGCAGAGAAGGUUCUCAAGAUUCAGGAACUUGGGAUGAGAAGUCGUCAAGGAGGGACUUCGGCAGCGUUCCAUUUAACGUGAAUCCCAAGGAAACUCCCGAAGUUGCAUCGCCCACUUACCCAUCAGGUAGGUAUGAAGCCACGGCGGAAUCAGAGUCGAAUGGCUUUGUGCCAAAGUUCGAUAGCGAGCCAAAGUUUGACGAGCCUUCCUUAGGAGCUAAUAAGAAGCAUGAUACUGACAAAGUGCCUGUAGACAUUUUUGAAGAGAAUUGGCUGACCGUUGACGAUGUCAAGCUUACAACAUCGCCUUCUAGAGCACGCCCCCCUUCACGAGCUCCUCCUAGGCCUGGUUCUGACAGGACAAGGAUCCCAAGGAGUUCUGGAAUCCACAAGGACAGUGUAGGUGAAAGAAGUAGGGGAAGAUCUGACGAGUUUCCAGUGUAUGGAAGUAGACCAAAUGGUUCAGAUGUUUCGAAGGAGGCUGAAUUGGCUAGAGAACGAGCCGCGGCUAGAGAAAGAGAAGCGUCCUUGGUGCAGAAGGAACGUGAGGCUGCAGAGCGGGAAAGAGCUGGGAUGCAGAAAGAGCGUGAACGACAGCGAGAAAGGGAGAGACAGAUGGACCGCCUGAGGGAGCAGGAGGCUGGUGAGGCUGGAGAGAGGGCCAAGAAAGCAGCAGAAAAGGCUGCUCAGGAAGCACAAUACAGGGUGGAGAAAGCUGCUGCAGAGAGGGCGAUUGCCGAGGCACGUGAGCGGGCAGAGAGGGCAUCAGCAGCUCGGCAAACUGAUGAGAGUGCGGAAAGAGCCAAAAAAGCAGCAGAAAGAGCUGCCCAGGAAGCACAGCACAGGAUGGAGAAAGCUGCUGCUGAGAGGGCGAUUGCCGAAGCACGCGAGCGCGCAGAGAGGGCCGCACUGCAGAGAGCAGCUGCAGCGAGAGAUGGUGCUCGAGAAAAGGAGCAGCGAGAGAAGGACCAAAAGGAAAGAGAGGAGCGAGCAAGGGCAAAAGAAGAACGACAAAGGGAGAAGGAAAGGCGGGAGAAGGAGGAGAGAGAGAAAGAAAGAGAGCGGGACAGAGAGCGUGACCGGAGGAGGGAAAGAGAAAGAGGUGCGGCUGAACCAUCUCGGUCUGCUGGUGCAAGUAGUCGGGCAACUAGUGAGCCAAAACAGCGACCGCCUAACCAUCAACCUGCUGCUUCUUUUGGUGGCGAUGUUCGACGGCCCUCGCCUUCAAAUCCUGUGUACUCCUCUACGGGAAGCUCCCCAGCUCCUACUCCACCCGUCAGGAAACCUCAACCUCAACCAAAGGUUGUCGAUGAUUGGACAACUUUACUGACACAGACUGCACCAACAGGUGAUGAAUUUCAAGAGAUACCGGGAGAGAGUGCUGAGAGAACCAAAGCGAGGCUUGAGAGGCAUCAAAAAGCGUUAGAGCGUGCGCAACAGGCGCUGAGGGAAAAGAAUGAACGCGAUCAGGCCCAGCUGAGGGAACAAGCCGAAAGGAGUAUGGCCGCUGGAAAUUUGGACGCUGAAAUACGGCGCUGGGCAACUGGCAAAGAAGGCAAUUUGCGAGCAUUACUCUCGUCCUUGCAUUUGAUACUGUGGCCAGAUACCAACUGGAAACCCGUGUCUUUGACGGACUUAAUCACAGGUAUUUCUGUGAAAAAGUCCUAUCAGAGAGCGAUUCUUUGUGUUCACCCUGACAAGGUGCAGCAGAAAGGGGCUACCGUGCAACAAAAAUAUAUUGCAGAGAAGGUUUUUGAUCUUUUAAAAGAGGCCUUCGCAAAAUUCAAUUCCACUGAAUUAUAUUGAGCUAGUGCUACUGGUGGACAUCUUACCUUAGCAAACCCGGACGCUGAUUGUGGGCUGGAUUUUCGGAAAUUUUCCUGGUAUAUAGAGGAGUUCAGAGAUGCCGGCAAGGACAGUUCUCAUUGUCCUGUUGCCUCUACUGAACAAUCAGCUUGAGGUCUUCCCACGCAGGAAGAAGAAUGAAGACUGUAACUUUAGAUCGCAUUCGAUAUUCGAUGGGGGGUCUGAGGAUUUUGAAUUGGAUUCCUACUAAGACUUUCAAUCCACCUAGUGGAUGGUGAUUCUUGACCAUUUAAAAUGUUGCCUCAGAAACUGGUAGACUGGAAUCUUCUUACUCCCCUCUGUUCAUAAAUCUAGCUGGCAGUCGGGUUUUUUAACUCACCAUUGAUUCUAGAGGCUAGAAAGUUUCUAUUCAAGCUGUGCCACUUAUAGGUGGUAUGGAAGUUCCAUUCUCUUACAGGACGAAGAUGAGUAAUGUAAUUGCUGCGACAUUCAGUAACGUCUACGUGGACAACUACUUUGCAAGUGGCAUUUCCACCGAGUGGUCCAGGGCCGGCUUCCCAACACAAUAGGAGGUGAUGGAUGCUUCACUUCUGUGCGAGUCAUGGAUUGUGGUGGGUUUUCUGUGCGAGUCAUGGAUUGUCUACAUCCUAAAGAUUGUCUACAACAUCCUCCAUACAGGGCUUAUUCCACGAUAUGGGGGCAUUGCAUGUGCCUUCAAUGAAACCACAAGGACAAUUAUAAAUGGGAGGCCAGUACGCCUCUUUCCAUCUGUGUUAAUUAGACCAAAAUGCCAGAUAUAACUACUGUAUUGUUCAUUUGCUUUUCUUUGUUUAUUUUCUUUUUAAAAUAAUGAUUGCCA